This 251-nucleotide ribosomal RNA is filed under the name uncultured prokaryote. Its description in RNAcentral is "partial 16S rRNA". It matches the Rfam family "Bacterial small subunit ribosomal RNA", at positions 525 to 775 of the family's 1533-position model. The record is from RNAcentral.
ACGGGGGGUGCAAGCGUUACUCGGAAUCACUGGGCGUAAAGAGCAUGUAGGCGGAUUAAUAAGUUUGAAGUGAAAUCCUAUAGCUUAACUAUAGAACUGCUUUUAAAACUGGAAAUCUAGAAUGUAGGAGAGGUAGAUGGAAUUUCGAGUGUAGAGGUGAAAUCCGUAGAUAUUAGGAAGAACACCAAUGGCGAAGGCGGCCUACUGGAAUAGUAUUGACGCUGAGGUGCGAAAGCGUGGGGAGCAAACAG